Rhipicephalus sanguineus (brown dog tick) is the source of this 4495-nucleotide RNA transcript. RefSeq lists it as uncharacterized. The transcript is spliced from 5 exons. The record is from RefSeq and is a predicted model, not a curated record. Lineage: Eukaryota; Metazoa; Arthropoda; Arachnida; Ixodida; Ixodidae.
CAAAUGUAUGCAAGCGCCGCGUACCAAAGUUGGUGCUCGAGGGAGUGCUGAGUGCUUUCGUCUUCUACGAGUGUUCGUUUUCUUCAUGUUGACAAAUAAUGCUGGUAAAGAAAGCCUGCAAUAAGUGAAAUACCACAUGACUGCGCUCCCACCUGCAUAAGAAAGCAGCUGAGCUUGUUGGAAGCAACUGUUUCGCCUGUUGUCUGCUGCCAGGGACAGCAUUCCGUAUCUUGACAAUGGGUAACGGAAGUGAUGAAAUGCAGUUCAGGGAACUGCUGGGCAAGCUGGAAGCAUUGUGGACAGCAGAACAGUUCUGUGAGAAACAAGAUGACAUAUGGCGCCUGCUCAAGCGGGACGUCCCUCGAAGAUCCAGGUUCAGCUGCCGCACUGUCCGCGACAUGCUUGACAUUCUCACUGACCGGGAGGUCAUCACACCACAAGAAACAGUGCUGUUGGAGCGGCUCGCUGCUGUAUUCUCAAUCCAGGAGGCUUCGGAGCAUAUUCAAGCCUUUCGAAAAAUACCACUGGACAAAGACACCUGCAGCGUGUGUUCUGCACCAUGUCAGGCAUCAUUACUUUACCGCACACCUGUUCAGGAAAACACUGGUCAGAAAGAGUUGGUGUGUGCCAUUCUCUAUCUCUGUGAACAGAAGUGCCCAUGGAAGACAGUUGUUCGAGCAUUUCCAAAAACAUUAAAUGUCAAGGAGGGCGAGAUUGAGCGGCUGGAAUCAAUGGCAUGUGCCUCUAAGCCACAGCUCAAGCGGUGUCUGACCUGUUCCGGCUUUGAAGUUAUGGAGUCCUGGAGGAAGAAACAUCCGCAACAUGCCACAGUAAAACUGCUACUGAAGUACCUGGCCAGUGAACGGGUCAGCCCUAGCUAUUCUGAAGACAUCAAGAACGGCUUUCACAUGGCAAUGACUGUGAGCUCAAAGUGCCUUUUGUGUAAGACAGGGUGUGAGCUGCAAGCGCAGCGUGGCGAGGCUGUCUCGGUACAAAUUGUCUGCGCACAGAUUCUUAAUCGGGACAUUCAGGAAACAUCUUGAAGGCUCACAUUUUUGAUGUACAGUGCUCAUGGAUUCAAACGCAACAAUUUAGGGCUAAUAUUAAUGAGAACUAACAGACAAUAAUGCCAAGGAAAGUAGAGGGGAUGUUAUUUGUAGUAAUUAAGAUAUAGAUGUGAAGAAAGUAAAGUGGACGAAAAGGUAACUUGCCGCUAGGAGGGACCGAACCUGCGACCUUCGACUAAUGCGUUCAACGCUCUACCACUGAGCUACAGCGGCGGUCAUCUUCCCGUCCACUUUAUGGGGCAUAUAUGGGCACUUAAACCUAGGAGUGUUAGCGCCGAUCGCAGCCAAGGCGGCGAGUGUGGAACACUCUUUUUCUGCCUGUUGGCGUUGCGUAGCACGUGAUCUUUUUACGAGCUGACUGCUGACCAAUAAUCCCUCGCAUACUACCUGAAGGCAUCAAGUCUGUCAGAACGAGGCCCUCACUAUGAAUGUAGGAAAGAUGAUUUUCAAGGGCUCGUUUUUCUUUGUUAGACACAAUAUUAGUGAGAACUAACGCACAAUAAUUCCAAGGAAAGUAGAGGUGAUGUUAUUUGUAGUAAUUAAGAUAUAGAUGUGAAGAAAGUAAAGUGGACAAAAAGAUAACUUGCCACUGGCAGGAACCGCAUAGUAUGUAUGGUUGUCAAAGUGUAUGCUACGUAAAACGGACUUUACUUUUUCUCUGAUGUUAUUAAACACUGCUAAGCAAGUUCCCUUUCUUUAUAUGAAAAAAUUGAGUGUGAAUUGAAGUUCUCGCCUCUCCCAUCUUAUAUCUAUAUUAACUUCAGUAACAUCUAUAUCCUAAUUACUACAAAUAACAUCCCCUCUACUUUUCUUGGCAUUAUUGUCUAUUAGUUCUCAUGCAUAUAAUUCAGUCAUUUGAUCUCUAGCACCCACAGCAGUGUAAAUUUAUUGCUUCGGUAUUCUUUUACAGCAGUAGUGAAGCGCACUUAGGUAUAUUAACAUAACAAAUACAUGGUAUUCUAUGGACAUAAAGUUACAAAAUGUUCCAUACUUCAUGAUAUAUAUUCAAAUAUAUUGAAGGUUGUUAUAGUAUCAAGGCUUAAUUGUACGUCCUACAUGCUACUUUCUUUUGUCAUGUCGUUUUAGCCAGUAUGCGCAUCAAGAAAUUACUGUUCAAGGUGGUGGUCGAUUGCGAAUUGAAUUUAUUGUCCAAUCAUUAAUGUUUUUGUGAUACUGGUGUUAUCUGCACUUCUACCCAGAUGGUUCUAGGCCUAAAGUUGCAUGGUGGCUGCAAGAUUGUGAACUUUUCAAAGCAAAAAAAAAAAAAACACAAAAAUAUUCACUGAGAGAAAAGACCUUUUGAAUCACUUAUUGCAGUGACAUUCAUUUGGCUGUCUCACCUCCAAAGAUGCACCCAUGCUGUAAAUUUUGGUUUUCGAGAAUGCCAAGCAGAAGUGCAGUAAAGGAAUAGUGAAGACAGGCUCUGUUGGCUUGUCACUACAAAAAGUAAAUGGUUCAUUUUAAAAUGUUAAAUGAGCACAUGUCUUAGAUGGGAGGAAAGAAGUCACAGGAUGUGCACUUACUCUCAACUAAAGUUUAUUUGGAGCACACAGUGUACACACCAAUAGGCAAGGAAGGUCCACAGAACACACUGCAAACUAGUGGCAAGGAACAUCGUAGUGAUGAGGAGUGGUUGAACAUAGAAUGUUGCUGGAUCAAACAUUUCAACAAACAAACUUCAUCUUCGUCAGGGCAGCAGCUACUGCCCUGACAAGGCAAUGUAGCAAGUGUGAUUGGACCAGGUUAUUAAACACAUUUGUGAGAUAUAGGCCAUUGAGCAUGGACAAACUUUUUAGGAAUGGGGAGGCCUGAUGUAAUGAUUAGUGCUGGGGCACCCAUGGCAACUACCAACGUAUUCAGAUUCAUUGUCGAAUUAAUGUUCGCCCAACGUCUUAGCCAAGGUAUUUAGCUGUUGCUUGUACUGGCAGUCAAUGGGCAGGUUCUUGUUGUGCCUGUUCAUCAGUAGCAUUGGUAAAUGUUAGUCCAGUUUUGGGACUAUUGGUCACUAGCACACUCCUUUCAAUGACCACAGCAUCGAGUAACAUGGCAAUAGGCUGGUCACUACCAAGUGGCAGGCAUGCUUUGUCGUGUUGCAUGCCCGAGUUGUGUCAUAAUUGUGAAUGCCAUCCUGCUAGCCCUGGUUCCACACAACUGUUGCGAGUGAUCUGGGCAGCUCCACUCGCUGAUUGAAACCGGCUGCAUAAAUGCAGGCAUCUCGUUUUCCUAGCAUUGCAUUUCUCAGCAUUUUCUCAGCGCCAACAUAAGCUGGCUGGGCUAUGUAUUACUUAUUCCUGGGCCACGAAAAAAAAGGUCCCCUUCUGGGGAGAAAUAUAUUCGAAGUAUUGAGACUCUAGGUAACUCUGGAUAUAUGCCUGUGCACAAUUUAAUGGGAACUUUUAGUAUGCAAAAGUAUAAGAAGCCGUGUAUGAAUUGCAGGUCUGCAAUUUUUUACAACAGUGAACAAAAAAUUAUUUUAAAACAUUCUGUAGUUUGCUUCUUCUACACUGCAAUAUGGAGUAAUUAAUGUUCCUUGCCACUUAUAUAUGGCACUGUUUGUGCACAAGUUUCCUUGCUUCUGUGUGUACCUUCUGUCUUUCCUGAAUUAACAUUAGGUUGCGAGUUUGGGCAUGUUUUGUUUCUACUUCGUUUUGUGCAGUCUAAAGUAUGAGCCUAGUAACAUGUUUUAGUAGGAUGUUUUUCACAUUAGUGACUAUAGCCUUUGCAGCAUCAUUGAAGAUGCAUCGUUUCAACAUGUAAAAAUGGUCAUUGCCUUGUACAUACAUGCUGCUGGUAACAUAAUUUGAACAACCUCUGAAACUAUCAUUAAGAUCUGAGGCCCAUGGGCUUCAUUGCAUGAGCAUUUUGAGUGGAUGAGGGUUGCAACGUGGGCUUUUGGUUACUCAUUUGAAAGGCUUUUGGUGUAUCGCGAACGGAAACACGGACACGAGAAGGCACACAGGAACACAACAGGUCUGGUUCUUGAAAAUAAACAUGUUGUUGCUAGUAGCGCUGUGUGGUGUUCCUGUGUGCCUUCUCGUGUCCGUGUUUCCUUUCACGCUACACCAAAAGCCUUUUGAGUGGAGUCGCUGAGGCUCGAGAAUUUUAAUGCUUUGUGUUUUCAAAAGUCUCUGCAUUGAGUGCACGUAAGACAGGAGUGUUAUACACACAACUUGCAUGGUAAAUCUUUUCUGGAUACUUGUAUGUGCUUUUCAUGUAAUUUUUACUUUGUCUUCGAGGGGGAGUAGGGAGUCUUGAGUGGUUAUUCCAGACAUGUAUACAUAAAUAUACAUGGCUGAGGAGAACAGAAAGCUGCUCAAUUGCAGCGCCUGACAGUGCUUCAGAGUCUAUUCUAUAGAGGGCGUCUAUAAUCUCAAUAUUCUGUGUAAAUCAGUGUGCAAGAAACUGAAUAAAGUGUGUUCAUCAAGAUA